CAUAGCUCAGUUGGUAGAGCAUGAGACUCUUAAUCUCAGGUUCAUGGGUUUGAGCCCCCCAUUGGCAGGG
RNAcentral lists this transfer RNA (70 nucleotides) under Podarcis lilfordi (Lilford's wall lizard). RNAcentral's name for it is "tRNA.Lys". It matches the Rfam family "tRNA", at positions 6 to 65 of the family's 71-position model. Rfam says of the family: Transfer RNA (tRNA) molecules are approximately 80 nucleotides in length. Their secondary structure includes four short double-helical elements and three loops (D, anti-codon, and T loops). Further hydrogen bonds mediate the characteristic L-shaped molecular structure. tRNAs have two regions of fundamental functional importance: the anti-codon, which is responsible for specific mRNA codon recognition, and the 3' end, to which the tRNAs corresponding amino acid is attached (by aminoacyl-tRNA synthetases). tRNAs cope with the degeneracy of the genetic code in two manners: having more than one tRNA (with a specific anti-codon) for a particular amino acid; and 'wobble' base-pairing, i.e. permitting non-standard base-pairing at the 3rd anti-codon position. The record is from RNAcentral. Lineage: Eukaryota; Metazoa; Chordata; Lepidosauria; Squamata; Lacertidae.